RNAcentral lists this ribosomal RNA (250 nucleotides) under uncultured bacterium. RNAcentral describes it as "partial 16S ribosomal RNA". It matches the Rfam family "Bacterial small subunit ribosomal RNA", at positions 524 to 773 of the family's 1533-position model. The record is from RNAcentral.
UACAGAGGGUGCGAGCGUUGUCCGGAAUCACUGGGCGUAAAGGGCGCGUAGGCGGCUGGGUAAGCGUGUGGUGAAAGCCCGGGGCUCAACCUCGGGUCGGCCAUGCGAACUGCCCGGCUGGAGCACGGUAGAGGCACAUGGAAUUCCGGGUGUAGCGGUGGAAUGCGUAGAGAUCCGGAAGAACACCGGUGGCGAAGGCGGUGUGCUGGGCCGUGGCUGACGCUGAGGCGCGACAGCGUGGGGAGCAAAC